Molecule: transfer RNA, 84 nt
Filed under: Phycisphaeraceae bacterium
Lineage: Bacteria; Pseudomonadati; Planctomycetota; Phycisphaerae; Phycisphaerales; Phycisphaeraceae
Also listed under: 1 other name
Description: tRNA-Leu
Rfam family: tRNA
About the family: Transfer RNA (tRNA) molecules are approximately 80 nucleotides in length. Their secondary structure includes four short double-helical elements and three loops (D, anti-codon, and T loops).
Source: RNAcentral
GCGGGCGUGGCGGAACUGGCAGACGCGCGGGAUUUAGGUUCCCGUGUCCGGAAGGACGUGGAGGUUCGAGUCCUCUCGCCCGCA